This 642-nucleotide ribosomal RNA is filed under the name uncultured bacterium. Its description in RNAcentral is "bacterial SSU rRNA". It matches the Rfam family "Bacterial small subunit ribosomal RNA", at positions 143 to 803 of the family's 1533-position model. The record is from RNAcentral.
AUAGCCGCCCGAAAGGACGGGUAAUACCGGAUACCCCCGGGCGCCGCAUGGCGCCCGGGCUAAAGCCCCGACGGGAGGGGAUGGCUCCGCGGCCCAUCAGGUAGACGGCGGGGUGACGGCCCACCGUGCCGACAACGGGUAGCCGGGUUGAGAGACCGACCGGCCAGAUUGGGACUGAGACACGGCCCAGACUCCUACGGGAGGCAGCAGUGGGGAAUCUUGCGCAAUGGGGGGAACCCUGACGCAGCGACGCCGCGUGCGGGACGGAGGCCUUCGGGUCGUAAACCGCUUUCAGCAGGGAAGAGUCAAGACUGUACCUGCAGAAGAAGCCCCGGCUAACUACGUGCCAGCAGCCGCGGUAAUACGUAGGGGGCGAGCGUUAUCCGGAUUCAUUGGGCGUAAAGCGCGCGUAGGCGGCCCGGCAGGCCGGGGGUCGAAGCGGGGGGCUCAACCCCCCGAAGCCCCCGGAACCUCCGCGGCUUGGGUCCGGUAGGGGAGGGUGGAACACCCGGUGUAGCGGUGGAAUGCGCAGAUAUCGGGUGGAACACCGGUGGCGAAGGCGGCCCUCUGGGCCGAGACCGACGCUGAGGCGCGAAAGCUGGGGGAGCGAACAGGAUUAGAUACCCUGGUAGUCCCAGCCGU